This is a small nucleolar RNA of Cheilinus undulatus (humphead wrasse), 134 nucleotides long. NCBI's taxonomy places the organism in Eukaryota, Metazoa, Chordata, Actinopteri, Labriformes, Labridae. The record is from RefSeq and is a predicted model, not a curated record.
GUUGAGGCCUGUCCCGACAGACCUUUCUCUGUAGGUCUGAGUCGUUGGAAAUGCCUCAAAGAGUAAAUCUGUUGUCUCGCUUUACCCACGUGUUCACCACAAUGGGCAUGCUGGGAUAUCACUGCAGAACAAAU